This 460-nucleotide ribosomal RNA is filed under the name uncultured bacterium. RNAcentral describes it as "partial 16S ribosomal RNA". It matches the Rfam family "Bacterial small subunit ribosomal RNA", at positions 338 to 795 of the family's 1533-position model. The record is from RNAcentral.
CCUACGGGGUGCAGCAGUGAGGAAUAUUGGUCAAUGGACGAGAGUCUGAACCAGCCAAGUAGCGUGAAGGAUGACUGCCCUAUGGGUUGUAAACUUCUUUUAUAUGGGAAUAACAUGUUCCACGUGUGGGAUUUUGUAUGUACCCUAUGAAUAAGGUUCGGCUAACUACGUUCCUACAGCCGCGGUAAUACGGAGGUUCCGAGAGUUAUCCGGAUGUGUUGGGUUUAAGGGUAUCGUAGUGGGUUUGUUAAGUCAGUUGUGAAAGUUUGGGGCUCAACCGUAAAAUUGCAGUGGAAACGGGCAGUCUUGAGUACAGUAGAGGUGGGCGGAAUUCGUGGUGUAGCGGUGAAAUGCUUAGAUAUCACGAAGAACUCCGAUUGCGAAGGCAGCUCACUGGACUGCAACUGACACUGAGGCUCGAAAGUGUGGGUAUCAAACAGGAUUAGAUACCCCGGUAGUC